This 83-nucleotide transfer RNA is filed under the name Postia placenta Mad-698-R. It matches the Rfam family "tRNA". From Rfam's summary of the family: Transfer RNA (tRNA) molecules are approximately 80 nucleotides in length. Their secondary structure includes four short double-helical elements and three loops (D, anti-codon, and T loops). RNAcentral also lists the same sequence under 1 other name. Lineage: Eukaryota; Fungi; Basidiomycota; Agaricomycetes; Polyporales; Adustoporiaceae. The record is from Rfam by way of RNAcentral.
GCCGGGAUAGCUCAGCUGGGAGAGCAACAGACUGAAGCCCGACGGUGUUCUGGAGGUCCCGUGUUCAAUCCACGGUCCUGGCA